Molecule: long non-coding RNA, 659 nt
Organism: Globicephala melas (long-finned pilot whale)
Lineage: Eukaryota; Metazoa; Chordata; Mammalia; Artiodactyla; Delphinidae
Source: RefSeq, a predicted model, not a curated record
GGAAGGUAGCUGAAGGCGUGGGCUCCGUCAGAGGAAUGGAGUCUAACGCAGGUCUGUCUCUUUUAGGUACCUUCCUGCUGUGCUCUUAGCCCCAGUAAAACCUGGUCUCUGCAAGGGGCCUGAUGGUUCACCAGUGACUCAGAAGGCAGCCGAGGUGCUCUGGGAGAAACAUCAUGUAUGGAAGUUCUGGCUCUGAGUCCUUCCUGGGCCAUUUGCGAAACAGAGGAAGAUAACUUGGGAGAAAGAGCCUAGAAAAUGGCCUGACAUAAAGCUUCCUCAUCUUUACGCACACCCAAGCCAAGGACUUCAGUAUCGUCAACUCCUUCUGCUUUUGAUUUCAUGCCCCCAGCACCGCGCAGCCAUGAAAUCCCAUCAAUUCUGCCUGUGGAAGUACCUCUCAGAUCCAUCUAUUCACUUUAACAACGAUUAACCCACCCAAUGACAGGGCUCCAGGCAACUCUCUCAUUUGCUGCUCAGUGUAAUUUUCUGGAGGGGAAUUUGGGAAUGUAUUUCAAUAAUCUUUAAAAUAGUUCUAUUGAUACUUUUGACUCAGCAGUUGCACCCUAUGAAUAAGGGGUGGUGGUAAAAGAUAAGAACAAAGACAUUUUUAGAAAGCAAGAACAUGUACAACGACAUGUUUUAAAAUAAUAUUUAAUAAG